GUUAAAGAGCUACAACUGUGUCAUAUGGGGAAAGGAUGAGACUUUGAACUCAGUCUUAGUAGAGAAGGGAACAUAUUUGCCAGCUAUUUAGGAAGAAAAAUUUUAGGGCUGGGAAUGAUCUAAAGUCAAUGAGAAAUUCUUCUUAGCCCUAGUUGGGUUCCCCUACAAAAAAGCUUGUGGUAAGGAUUUGAAUGUAAGUUGUUGGUUUAGGAAGCAAUCUAAGGAAGCACAGGAUCCUGGGGCAGGGUCUCUAAGUCUUCUGCUAACAUUUAGUAAGGCAGGGAAAGGAAGGAAGCCAGUACAUGAUGGCUUAAUAAGCAAAUUACCACUGUAGGCUGCAGGGGUUCAUCCAUGACUGUAGGCAAGUGUAGUCCUCUGGUAGACUGUAUAACAUGCCUCAGAAUUGUCCCACCCAAGGUGUGAGAGUUGGGGUAUUUAUCCUCCAAUUCCCAUCCAUCAUUAUUGAAUGCUGCUCACAGGGACAGAUGUUAAUUCCCUGGCAUUUUCAUUCUUCCCUAGAACUGGACACAUUUCUUCCUACCAAAGCAGUCUCUGUUAGUGAGAAGAAGAUUGAGAGCAAUCAUAUGGCAAAAUCCUGUGAACAGGGAAAAUCCAAGGCAGAAGACCAGAGGCAUUCACAGAAGAAUCCCUGGAUAUUUGGUAGAUGGAUCCACUAGAGAACAAGCCUGGAGGCUUCUCAGGAAGACCCUGCCUUGGACUUGUCCAGUUCCUCCCUGGGAGUUGGGAGCAUAGGCUGGUUAUCUGCCAAAUCAGCAGAGGGAUGGGAAAGGUGAAAAAAAAUUAAUACCUAUUGCAAUUACCACUUCUCCAUGAACCUCAUCUAUGUUCAUGUAAGUGUGGAGGUCAUUACAUACAUGACAAAGGUAAGUGCUCUUGCCCCUUUCUCAUCCCAGACAGGUGGUUAAAAGAACUCUGCGCUGACCCUUUCAAUUCUGUGAUUCUCUGUGUCUGUAAGGAAGGUACAGCUUAACCCAUACUUUGGCCCCUGACACCUCUCGUUUGGGGGAUGGCAGCUUUGCAUCUUCAGAAGUUUCGACACUGCCAUUUUGUAUAGAUUAAUGCUGAAAGGAUUUUAAACAUGCAUUCCAGCAAAAUGUCACAGUAAUUUUAGGGAAGGGCUAUUGAGAAAUACAUCCCUGCAACAUUUCCACAUCUUCUUGUGGUAAGCCUAAAAAUAGCCAGGAGGAUUUCACUAGAAUACUGAAAACUCUGACCACAGCAGAAGUAACAAAUUGAAUGAGAAGAUCUCUAAUCUCUGAGAAGGGCCAGAAGGGGCUCUCUAAUUUUCUGCUUUGCCACCAAUGACCACUAAAGUCAUUGCCAACUGCCAGACCCUUAGCAUUGGUGAGGAGACGUAUGACAAUUUGAAGCUAAUUUUCAUUUGUUGUAGAGAAAGAAACAGUUGUUUCCUUUUUUUUUUUUUUUUAACCCCAGAGUUAUUCCAACACAACACCCUUCUAGUUAACACCCAAGGCUCAGUGGCCAUCAGCUUGGCUUGGCUGCUUGGACCUUUCUCAGGGAGAUCAGCCUGCCUUGGUCUGACUUCAUAGGAAUUUCUAAUUAAUUAAUUAAUUAAUUUGAAAGAGAGAGAAGGCAUAAAUGGGGGAUGAGGGCAGAGGGAGAGGAGAGAGAGAGAAUCCCAAGCAGACUUCAUACUGAGCACAGAGCCCAAUGUAGGGCUCAAUCUCAUGACCCUGAGAUCAUGACCUGAGCUGAAAUCAAGAGUUAAGCAUUUAACUAAGCCAUCCAGAAGCCCCAUAGGAAUUUCUGAGGUCAGCACAGGGAUUCUGGUAAUCUACAGACAUGUCUAGUGAUGAAGAGACUCUUUAAGGUAUCAUUUAAAGGUGACAGAAGUCUGGCUGGGCAUCGGGUCACCUGGCUUCUAGCUGUGACUCUAGCACUGACCAGCUGUAUAACUGGGAGAAGGCUUCAACCUCUCCAGCUCAUUCUUCAUAUGUGAUACAAAGUGAGUUUAUAUAGUUGUCAAAAACGUCUUGGGUUUCAUUGUCAAUUAUCUUUCAGACAAAAAAACAUGAUACAGGGGAAGAUAGAGUAAAUGUACUUUUCCUAUUUCUCCGUGAAGUACACUAAAUCCUCUGGACACUACAUAUAAAACAAGCAUAAGAUGACCUUGAACAGUAGAGAAAAAGCAGAUCAGCUAAGGACUUUGAGACCCAAGGAAUGGCUUGGUGGUGAGCUCCCUGCGUUUUCUUUUUGCUUCAAGUAUCCCAUAGUUGGAACUGAAGAAGCCAGUGACCCGGAAAUGCCAAAGGGAAUAGACAAAAAGAUCUUCAAGAAAAGCACAGGGAGAGGAUCCCUGGGUGGCUCAGCGAUUUAGUGCCUGCCUUCUGCCCAGGGCCUGAUCCUGGAGUUCCGGGAUCGAGUCCCACAUCGGGCUCCCUACAUGGAGCCUGCUUCUCCCUCUGUGUUUUUGCCUCUCUCUCUCUCUCUCUCUCUCUCUGUGUGUGUGUGUGUGUUUAGUGAAUAAAUAAACAAAAAAAAAAGUUUUUAAAGGGGGA
Molecule: long non-coding RNA, 2540 nt
Organism: Vulpes vulpes (red fox)
Lineage: Eukaryota; Metazoa; Chordata; Mammalia; Carnivora; Canidae
Source: Ensembl